This 495-nucleotide ribosomal RNA is filed under the name Triticum aestivum (bread wheat). Its description in RNAcentral is "partial small subunit ribosomal RNA". Lineage: Eukaryota; Viridiplantae; Streptophyta; Magnoliopsida; Poales; Poaceae. The record is from RNAcentral.
AUGAAUUCCUCCCUCAUUAGCCUCCUGAUGUACCUCAUGGGAUCCUAUAGUCUUCACGAAUCCAUCCAUAAGGAGGUCACCAAGCUCCUCUCCAGAUUUUUCUGGGCUAGAGAGAACAAUAAACAAAAGUACCACAUGGUGAACUGGUCUGAGAUCUAUAAGCCCAAGGACCAAGGGGGCCUUGGGGUCAUCUCAUCGAAGCGGAUGAACAUAGCCCUCCUCUCCAAAUGGCAAAGGCAUAUCCAGACCGGUGAGGGAGGCUUGUGGUUGGAGAUUAUCCGCGCAAAAUACCUGCGCGGGCAACUGUUGGCCUUCACCUCUCGUUCUGGAGGCUCCCAAUUCCGGCAAACGGUGGUCCGGUUGAUGCCGGUCUUGCGUAUUGGAACCUCCAUCAAAGUAGGGUCCGGCUCAGGCACCCUGUUUUGGCUAGAUAGGUGGGCUGGUAAUUGGCCCUUUGCGGAGCGCUUUCACGCCUUAUUCUCGAUUUGUGCCCAC